This 294-nucleotide long non-coding RNA is filed under the name Lactuca sativa (garden lettuce). RNAcentral's name for it is "long non-coding RNA (LSAT_LNC006547)". Lineage: Eukaryota; Viridiplantae; Streptophyta; Magnoliopsida; Asterales; Asteraceae. The record is from RNAcentral.
UAGAACCUUGAUUAUAUACCACCCCUAUGUAUACAUUCUUCAGUGAUAGAUCAACCGCGUGGGUCUUUGGAUUGAACGUGACGUACUGUACGAGUGCUACUUCGGGGAGGUUUAAUGAGUUUUUCUUCGGAAGGGAUAAGAAACAUGAGGCACUCUAUGCAUGAGUCCUUCGGAGUUCUGCAAUGACGGCUUCGCUAGAAAGAUGUUUACAGAGAAAGAGACGUGUGCACGAAAUUGGUAUGUGAGGAUCGAAUGGGCUCAAGUCGUAUGAUAAUAUCGGACUCACUUGGAAAU